UCCAUAUCCUGGCCGAAGAAGUCUGUGGGAAGGAUCUGUCCCUGGAGGAGUUUUUGGAACUUGGUCGGGAAUGCCAUCUGGCGAGGUUGGGAAAGGAGCAGAUGGACC
RNAcentral lists this non-coding RNA (108 nucleotides) under uncultured Symbiodinium. The record is from RNAcentral. Lineage: Eukaryota; Dinophyceae; Suessiales; Symbiodiniaceae.